UACGUAGGGGGCUAGCGUUGUUCGGAAUAACUGGGCGUAAAGCGCACGUAGGCGGACACUUAAGUCAGAGGUGAAAUCCCAAGGCUCAACCUUGGAACUGCCUUUGAUACUGGGUGUCUUGAGGUCGAGAGAGGUGAGUGGAACUGCGAGUGUAGAGGUGAAAUUCGUAGAUAUUCGCAAGAACACCAGUGGCGAAGGCGGCUCACUGGCUCGAUUCUGACGCUGAGGUGCGAAAGCGUGGGGAGCAAACAGG
Molecule: ribosomal RNA, 253 nt
Filed under: uncultured bacterium
Lineage: Bacteria
Description: partial 16S ribosomal RNA
Rfam family: Bacterial small subunit ribosomal RNA
Source: RNAcentral